Molecule: ribosomal RNA, 235 nt
Filed under: uncultured bacterium
Lineage: Bacteria
Description: partial 16S ribosomal RNA
Rfam family: Bacterial small subunit ribosomal RNA
Source: RNAcentral
UGAGGAACAUGACCUUCGGCGGGGGAGUAGCCGGCCCAACGGCCGGGUAAUACCGCGUACGACCACAUGGGGACAUCCCUGAGUGGUGAAAGCAGCGAUGCGCCGAUGGAGUGCCUCGCGGCCUAUCAGCUAGUUGGUGAGGUAACGGCUCACCAAGGCGACGACGGGUANCUGGUCUGAGAGGAUGGCCAGCCACAUUGGGACUGAGACACGGCCCAGACCUCUACCGGGGAGG